GUGCGUGUGUGUGAGUAUGUGUGUGUGUGUGUGUGUGUACAGGAGGGUGUUAUUUUAAAUAAGGUGUUUGAGGAAGACCACACUGACAAAGUGACAUCUAAGCAAAGGCUGGGAGGAGGACAGCAUAAGUUCUGAGAGGAAAGGUGACCCAGACUGAGGCAGCCAAUGCUAUGCUCUGUGUGGGACUUGCUUGGAGUGAUCAAAGCCAGUAAGGAGAUUUGUAUGGCUAUAGCAGAGUACGGAGGGGAAAGUGGUAGAAGAGGUCAGUGACCAAAGGAAAAGGCUAAGGAGGACCUUCAAGCUACUGGAAGUACUUGGCUUUUCUUCUAAGUGACAUAGGAAGGUUGUUGUCAUAAAGUGGCUACCUGGCUUAUAACAACUUUAACAAGGCUGUUCCGGGCCAAACUCAGGUACCAUGGAGUUACCACUCCUGAGGAACACUCUUAUCUUUCUACGUGGGAGAACUACAUGGAUGACCAGCAGUGGUAUUACAACGCUUCCACGAAGCAGCUGUAGGAAGUUGGUCUUCUUUACCAUAGGGUGA
RNAcentral lists this long non-coding RNA (544 nucleotides) under Fukomys damarensis (Damara mole-rat). RNAcentral's name for it is "lncRNA (ENSFDAG00000032852.1)". Lineage: Eukaryota; Metazoa; Chordata; Mammalia; Rodentia; Bathyergidae. The record is from RNAcentral.